AUUGAACGCUGGCGGCAGGCCUAACACAUGCAAGUCGAGCGAGCGGCGGACGGGUGAGUAAUGUCUGGGAAACUGCCUGAUGGAGGGGGAUAACUACUGGAAACGGUAGCUAAUACCGCAUACCAUCAGAUGUGCCCAGAUGGGAGUAGCUAGUAGGUGGGGUAACGGCUCACCUAGGCGACGAUCCCUAGCUGGUCUGAGAGGAAGACCAGCCACACUGGCACUGAGCCACGGACCAGCCUCCUCCUAGAGACCGCAGUGAGGAAUAUUGCACAAUAGGCGCAAGCCUGAUGCAGCCAUGCCGCGGAUGUGACGAAGGCCUUCGGGUUGUAAAGCACUUUCAGCGGGGCGACGUUGCCCGCAGAGAAAGCACCGGCUACCUCCGUGCCAGCCGCCGCGGUAAUUC
This 406-nucleotide ribosomal RNA is filed under the name uncultured bacterium. RNAcentral's name for it is "partial 16S ribosomal RNA". It matches the Rfam family "Bacterial small subunit ribosomal RNA", at positions 30 to 526 of the family's 1533-position model. The record is from RNAcentral.